Molecule: ribosomal RNA, 198 nt
Filed under: uncultured bacterium
Lineage: Bacteria
Description: partial 16S ribosomal RNA
Rfam family: Bacterial small subunit ribosomal RNA
Source: RNAcentral
ACGCUCGACACCUACGGGAGACAGCAGUGGGGAAUAUUGCACAAUGGGGGAAACCCUGAUGCAGCGACGCCGCGUGAAGGAAGAAGUAUCUCGGUAUGUAAACUUCUAUCAGCAGGGAAGAAAAUGACGGUAUCUGACUAAGGAGCCCCGGCUAACUACGUGCCAACAGCCGCGGUAAUCUGAGCGGGCUGGCAAGGC